GGUAUCAGAUAGUCGGGGAACUCGACUAUUGCGUUCUCUCUUGUUUGCUAAUUGAAUUCAUGGCAAUUGGGUUAUAUUUAUUUGAAAUCACCGCGAGAGUUCUUUUAAAUAUUCCAUGUUAUGAAAAAUUAACAACAGAAAUAAUUGGUAGAGGCCAAAUCAUAACCGGCUAUAUAUUUGCAAUUAUUAUUUAUAAUUGCUUCUUUACUCGCCAAAUAUUAUUAAUAUUGCCAUAAUUAUUAACACGAGCUCAAAACGUGUAGAGUAAGAGUAAACAAUUUGAAUGUGUUUCUAUAUCAACUAGGCAAGCCAUGAGUUCUAACUCAAAUAUUGACAAUGAAGUUAUAAAGUUUGUUUAUUAAAAAAAAUUGCAUUAUGAUAACGCAAGUGUCAUGCCAAAUGAAUAUUUUUGUGUAAAUAAACGCAUUUUAGGUUUGUGUGUUAUUAAAAAUGUGGGCUUCUUUAAUGUUUCGACAGUUCCCUGCAUUUCCCGAAUAAUCGGAUAUAUGCUAUAGCACCACAGUUUUUUUAGCUUACACAUUAGCUGCAACUAUGUGAGUGUCAAAGGGUGUAAAAACAAAGCAAAUAGGGUGGGCGGUGUGGGCGGAGAUCAAUAACAUGUAAUAGCACGUAACAAAGUCAGCGCUCGCCACGCGCGCUAUGUAAAAUCAGGCAAAAAAAAAAUAAAGCGAACAAGAACAAUAAAUCGAUUCGCCUUCAAAAUGCGGGAGAAAAAAUAAAAAUAUAAAGGACGAGGAGGAAAUAUGGAAGGGGUUUUUUGGGGUCGACUGCCACGGCAAUAAAGCCAGAAAUCACGCUGUGUGCAUGCAAAUCCCAAAAAGAUUUCCACACGACCCCAAAAAAAUGUACCGUGGAAAAAUUCGUUUUUUUGCCACGAGCAGAAACAAACAAAAGGAAACAAGUUAACUAAGACAAGGAAGAGACAGGAGGAAAAUCUCUUCAAAAUCUGGGUGUGUGCGACGAUAAAUUCAUAUAAACCGCGUUAAUUUAACCGCAGGCGCAGUUUAAACAACUCAAAUGGCUGGAAAAGCUGCUCCCCUGCUAUUCCGACUGGACCCGCACCUAAGCUUGAUAAAAUGUCGCCGCAAAGCUCAAGACAAAUAACAUCCAGCAAGCCAGUCAGCCAUCCAGCGACCUUCCCCCAAAGUUUUCCACCACGGAAAGGUUGCCAGGAGUGCGGAAAAAACGAUUGGAAUCUAGAGAAAUUACGUUCUGAAAUGUUUGCCACAAUUUGUUGUGCUCCAUAAUGAGUUGCUUUGUAUGCAAGGACAGACCUCCACCGUCUGAGCCUCAAAUGGAUAGAGUUCUGGGUGGCGCUUGGGCGGCCAAAAGGCCGUUUAAAGUUAUCCGCUCGGAUUCGCAUUUUAAUGCUUUUGCCUCAAUAAUCCGGUCAAGUGUCGGCUAGCGAUUUUAAUUGUUUGCAAUUAUUUCACCGAUUAAUUGCGUUUAAUUGGGCUACCAGCAAUUGCCUGCUAAUGCUAGGCGAUCAUUCAUAGAUUUGUAACGCUUUCAAAUGUUCACACCUCGGCAGUCAGUUGACUGCACUUCUGUAAUUUGAUACCUUUAAGGUAGUCACAUUCUUAUAAAGUAUGUAUAUAUUAAGAACGUUACGGCUUAAUUUAUUUAUAAAUCAGUGUGUAGUUUUUUUGAGCCAAAAAUAAAGCUUUAGUAAAAAUGUGGUUACUCUCAUGCCCUAAAUUACUAUUCACAAAAAGGGAAUUAUUUAUUAUUGGUGGGGCACGAAAUUAAAGCCAGACUUUUGGAGGCCAAGCUGGCAAUCAGGCCGAAAGUCCCGACUUGGCCUCAACUUUCCUUUGAUGGCUCAUUUGAAGCUGCGAGAGCCAAGGGAUUAUUAUGUCCUUGCUCAUUUAAGUUUGCCUUUAAAAGUUUUCCUCCAUUCGCUGCUAAAAAAGUUGAAUAUAAACUUUGCUAAGGCUUCGCUGGCGCGGCCUUUUCCCUCAUUAUAACCGAUUCUCGUAGAAUAAGGGGUACAUAAGGUUGGUUCGAAAGUGUAAUGUAACAGCGUUUUAAUAUAUAUUCUUGAUCAGGAAAAGCCGACUCCAUCUAUCCCUGGCGUUCUGCCUCUCUAUGCCAGCAAUAAACCCCUAUAACCCCAAAAUCUCUUAAAAGACACUUGCUUAAACUUGUCUCUAGAAGUAGUUAUGAGGCUUAGGCUUACUUACCAACAUACAUCACUCUUCACUGAGCUCAGAACAUUUAUUUUAAAGUUACUUAAUGCGACGCCCGCUAGGUGGACCCUUUGUACUUGGUACUUCUUUUAGAUGAGUAACAGGUAUCUGAAAGUCUAAAGUUUCUUUUCUUUUUUUCUCACAUAUCUUUUUAAGGCGCGACCCAACAACCCUGAAAAAAAGGGUGGAAAAGAAGUCCCCCGGCGACAUAAACGUUAAUUGUUGUUGGUCAUGACAUAAAAACCACCAUAAGAAUGGCCAGCACAGCCAAAUGACAUUGCUAGCAAAACACAAUUUUCGCUAUGAAUAAAGUGGGUUGGAAUGGGAAACAACUCAGGCAGGCUUUUGCUAAUGAACUAGCAAGGAUAUGCGGCGAAUUGAACGUCAACUGAAAUCAAGAAGAGAGAAAAGGAUUGGGCCACGUUUCUGCAGAAGGCCUAAUCAAAGCGACAACUGAAAUCCGCAACAAAACACACUCACAAACUUCCAAAUACCCAUAUGUAUGUGCAUGUACAUAUGUAUGUAUAAAUAACAAGGUCAAAUGGUAGAAAAUGCGACCGAAAUAUUUACGGCUGAAUGAACUGCUCCUUUUAGUUGGCCAGAAUUCGUAACCGACUCAAAUUUAAAAUCCAAUCAAGGGAAAGUAAUGCUCACUUUAUUGAACUCAAAAAUGAUAACUCAGAACUUGCUUAAAUGAAAAGUCGUUGGUGGAACCGAUUUUAAAUUUACUUUUACGAAAUUUCUAUUGCGCAAACUUUCCUUAAUUUAUUUAUUUUGCAGCAGAUUUUUUCUACAUUGUUGAGUUUAAUUAAAGUUUUUGCAUUAGCACAACAUUUUCAGUGGCUUGAAUAUUUUUGUAUGGCUGCUUUGUAUUAUUUUUAUUUGGCUAAAUAUUUUAAAAACCAUCAUAAAAAUAAAUGUCAUCUGUUAUAAAAAAACCAAACAUUUUAGCUUCUCAUGAGUUGACAUUUUCGAAAUGACAUCCCGAAAAUAAGUACCACAUGUCAUAUUAAACCGAAAAAAAGCGGAUCCAGUGAAGCUUAGACUAAAACAAAACCGAAUCAAUGACAAAAGUGAAAAGCAGGUGAGGAAGGGAGCCAGGGGCCAUGGGCCAUAGGGAAGAUUAGCCACAUUGUUGUGCAAUGGCCAUCAAAAUGCGACCAGGAACACAGGAGAUGAUGGCGUCAGUUUCCUUUUAGUCCUUGUUCACCUGUGGCUUUCACCUUUCUCCUCGCAAUAUUUAAUGCGAUUUAAUGCAUGUAUUAGAAGAGUGACUGCCAUGACUUAUAACAUCAACUUCGAAUGAGAAGACGUUUCUUUCUUUAGGUGUUUCCAUUCCUAUCAUAUAAAUCCAAUUGUUGCAGCGUUAUUUUAAAUCAAUAAGCAAUUUAUAAGAAUACUUUACGAUAAGGAAACCGCAAAAAAAUUGAGACGAGAUAAGAAAUUAUCGGGCAUCUGUUUUGGAUCUAAGUAUGAUUGAGAAAUAUUCACAAUUAAUUAUAGAAGUAAUAUUGUUAAAAGCACGACAGAUUUAAUAAAAUUUAAUAAUUUUUGAACUUUAAUAUCAACGUGCUGCCUUUAUUGGAUAUAAUUCGAUUUAAACAUUCUGUUUAUAGUGAAAUUUAUUCAAUGGAUCUCAUACAAAUCUGCGAACUGGAGGAUGAGCUCGACUGACAAAACACUCCCAUGACGAUGGGUGGAGCGAAUGAAAUUUAAAACCGAGACGCCUUUUUAAUGCAUGUGUACUGUGCACGUCUUCCUUAGUGGAAUUAAAUUAAUGACAAACAA
Molecule: long non-coding RNA, 3998 nt
Organism: Drosophila yakuba
Lineage: Eukaryota; Metazoa; Arthropoda; Insecta; Diptera; Drosophilidae
Exons: 2
Source: RefSeq, a predicted model, not a curated record